Molecule: long non-coding RNA, 257 nt
Organism: Alligator mississippiensis (American alligator)
Lineage: Eukaryota; Metazoa; Chordata; Crocodylia; Alligatoridae
Exons: 3
Source: RefSeq, a predicted model, not a curated record
CUCAGGGUGGCCUUUUGCUUUUCAGCCUGCAGGGUUUCUGUGUAAGCCCCCAGCUCCUGUUGUUGCUGUUGCUGCUGGAUCUGGGCAGCCCGGACCACAGGCGGCAGCUCAUCCCCCUCCUACUCCCCAGAGUCACCCUCAUGCUUGAGGAAAGAUCACCAGCUUCGCUGUCCUAAAGCAGCGGAGGCUGGCCACGUCUCUUACUGCCUCUCUGUGGUUUGUGCUGGCUCGGCUCUGGGAGUACCUUAGCUGGUGGA